AUGGGUGCCGCCGGUGGCCGUGGUGCCAUGCGUCUCCGUGCCGGUCAUUCCAGUGUUACCGUGCUGCUCAUAGGUGCCGCCGCCGGCCGGGGUGCCAUGCGUCGCCGUGCCGGUGUGUCCCUGCUGCCCGUAGGCUCCACCGGUCUGCUGGUGGUCACCGUGGCCACCAGGGAGCUUGUCCUUGAUGUUCUCCAUGACGGCCUUCUUCUCGCCAGUGCCGUGUGUCCCCGUGCCGGUCAUCCCAGUGUGUCCGUGCUGCUCAUAGGUGCCGCCGCCAGCCGGGGUGCCAUGUGUCGCCGCGCCGGUGUGUCCCUGCUGCCCGUAGGUGCCACCGGUCUGCUGGUGGUCACCGUGGCCACCAGGGAGCUUGUCCUUGAUGUUCUCCAUGAGGCCCUUCUUCUCGCCGGUGCCGUGCGUCCCCGUGCCGGUCACUCCAGCGUGUCCCUGCUCCCCAUAGGUGCCACCGGUCGCCGGGGUGCCAUGCGUCCCCGUGGCGACGUGUCCCUGCUGCCCGUAGGUGCCAGCGGUCUGUUGGUUGUCACCAUGGCCACCAGGGAGCUUCUCCUUGAUGUUCUCCAUGAGGCUCUUCUUCUCGCCGAUGUCGUGCGUCCCCGUGCCGGUCACUCCGGUAUGUCUUUGCUCCCCGUAGCUGCCACCGGUCGCCGUGCCGGUAUGUCCGUGCUCCCCAUAGGUGCCAUUGGUCGCCGGGGUGCCAUGCAUCGCCGUGCCGGUAUGCCCCUGCUGCCCAUAGGUGCCACCAGUCGCAAGGGUGCCAUGCGUCGCCGUACCGGUAUGUCCCUGCUGCCCAUAGGUGCCACCAGUCUGCUGGUGGUCAGCAUGGCCACCGGGGAGCUUGUCCUUGAUGUUCUCCAUGACGCCCUUCUUCUCGCCGGCGUGGGCGCCAUGCAACCCCGUGCCGGUGGUUCCGGUGUGACCCUCCUGCCCGUAGGCACCACCAGUGGCCGGGGCGCCAUGCGUCACCGUGCCGGCGUGCCCGUGGGCGCCAGCGGUCUCCUUGUGGUCACCGUGGCCGCCGGGGAGCUUCUCCUUGAUCUUCUCCAUGAUGCCCUUCUUCUCGCCGGCGCCGUGUGCUUGGUGGUCCAUCUUGAGCCGACCUUCUCAGUCGUGAAAUCCACUAGUGCUGCUGUGUUUACUUCUCUUGCUUGUGUGGUGCAGGUGGUUGUGUAA
RNAcentral lists this ribosomal RNA (1188 nucleotides) under Triticum aestivum (bread wheat). RNAcentral's name for it is "partial small subunit ribosomal RNA". The record is from RNAcentral. Lineage: Eukaryota; Viridiplantae; Streptophyta; Magnoliopsida; Poales; Poaceae.